UGGGGAAUUUUGGACAAUGGGCGAAAGCCUGAUCCAGCAAUGCCGCGUGUGUGAAGAAGGCCUUCGGGUUGUAAAGCACUUUUGUCCGGAAAGAAAUCCUUGGCUCUAAUACAGUCGGGGGAUGACGGUACCGGAAGAAUAAGCACCGGCUAACUACGUGCCAGCAGCCGCGGUAAUACGUAGGGUGCAAGCGUUAAUCGGAAUUACUGGGCGUAAAGCGUGCGCAGGCGGUUUGCUAAGACCGAUGUGAAAUCCCCGGGCUCAACCUGGGAACUGCAUUGGUGACUGGCAGGCUAGAGUAUGGCAGAGGGGGGUAGAAUUCCACGUGUAGCAGUGAAAUGCGUAGAGAUGUGGAGGAAUACCGAUGGCGAAGGCAGCCCCCUGGGCCAAUACUGACGCUCAUGCACGAAAAGCGUGGGGAGCAAACAGGAUUAGAUACCCUGGUAGUCCACGCCCUAAAACGAUGUCAACUAGUUGUUGGGGAUUCAUUUCCUUAGUAACGUAGCUAACGCGUGAAGUUGACCGCCUGGGGAGUACGGUCGCAAGAUUAAAACUCAAA
This 559-nucleotide ribosomal RNA is filed under the name uncultured bacterium. Its description in RNAcentral is "partial 16S ribosomal RNA". It matches the Rfam family "Bacterial small subunit ribosomal RNA", at positions 355 to 905 of the family's 1533-position model. The record is from RNAcentral.